GGAAUAAGCCACCGAAAGGUGGUCUAAUACUUCAUAAUAUCCAUCUCGUAUGGAUUAAAGCUUUAUGCGCUUUGGGAGGGGCCUGCGUAACAUUAGCUUGUUGGUGAGGUAAAAGCUCACCAAGGCUUCGAUGUUUAACUGGUUUGAGAGGAUGACCAGUCACACUGGACUGAGAUACGGCCCAGACUCCUACGGGAGGCAGCAGUAAGGAAUCUUCCACAAUGGGGCAACCCUGAUGGAGCAAUACCGCGUGCAGGAUGAAGCGUUUCGGCGUGUAAACUGCUUUUAUCACCGAAGAUUAUGACUGUAGGUGAAGAAUAAGGACCGGCUAACUACGUG
RNAcentral lists this ribosomal RNA (339 nucleotides) under uncultured bacterium. RNAcentral's name for it is "bacterial SSU rRNA". It matches the Rfam family "Bacterial small subunit ribosomal RNA", at positions 140 to 507 of the family's 1533-position model. The record is from RNAcentral.